Molecule: long non-coding RNA, 2950 nt
Filed under: Marmota monax (woodchuck)
Lineage: Eukaryota; Metazoa; Chordata; Mammalia; Rodentia; Sciuridae
Source: RNAcentral
UGCCUGUUAGGUUUGUCCAAUUCAACAUAUGGUUCUUACCCGUCAUCUGAAAACUGACCUCUAGGCGUCAGCCUCCUGUCUUAGGUUGAUACCACUGCAAUUGGAUCAUACCCGUCACUGACUACCGGUCCAGCAUAUAGCCAUACUUGUGGAUAGGCCUAUGCACCAGUGCGGGGGUGAGGUUCUUUGCCUCACCUCUGUUGGCCCCCAAAUUUGGCCUUGGUGCCGGUGGGGGGGUGUUCGCCUCUGUUGGCCCCCCAAAUUAGACCAUCACUAGUAGAAGGGAGGAGGAUACAGAAAUGCCACGACACCAAGUCAAUUGACGGCUCCUAGGAAAAAUUGCAUCACUGGUGACACAUCAGCAAAGAUAUGCUAGCACUACCAUAAUUCGCUGCAUCAACAGAUCACAAUGCAUACAAGUGAUACAUAGUCCAGGCAAGUUCUGUAAGCAGUUCAAAGCGGAGGAAUCUAUCAAUAUGUCCAUAUCCUCCCAAAAUAAAUCGACUCAUUGAUUGAGCAUUACUUGUUGAGUUAUUAAUCAUUGAUGUAUCAGUUUAUACAGUUUGUUGUGAUAACUCUCGAAGAAGUUGUAGUUUGGUUUCAUCUUUGUCUUCACCGGCACUGGGAUGAAAAUAGGAAUUCUGACAAUGAUGCUAAAAAAAAAUAUGUAACAUUUCAACAGGUACUAAGAAAACAAUUUUUAGAACAAUUUACAUUAUCCUGAACAGAAUUAUUAAAUAUAGUGAAAAGGAAAGGUGAAAGUAAACAAACAGAUCUGUUAACCUCCUAUUUGUUCAUAUAUUAAAACAAUCCUCAACAGCUGUUUACCCAAAUUAAAUUAAACUAUUAAAAUCACGUGAAUAAUAAAAAAAAUUCGGAUCCAUAUUCAUGAGCGCUCCUCAUAUAUGAUAUAUGGACAUAUGCACAUACAGACAUACAACACAAAUCAGAAGUGUGCACACGUAACAUACAACACAUAAGACAAUAGUAAAGGCCUUGUAGCUUUACCUAGGUGAAAUCUCCAUUGCAAUGUUUAAAAACUCCACAGUCAAAAAAUAAAACUGAUCAGAAAAACAUUAACCUAGGUCUGUUUGAGCUCAAAAAUAAAAUAGAAAUUUAUGAUGUGGGAAAAAGCAAUAAUAAAAUAGAUAUUGAAAAAAGCAUCCUGGUUAAUCACUGUCGCAGAUGUAAGAAUAGCCAAGCUGGAGUUCUGGAUAUCAGCUGUUAUGGAUUUGAGUCAAAUCAUCUUCCUUUUGGUCUGUUGAAAUUGUUUUGGUUAAUCUCUCUGGAAUCCAAAUCGGCUGCUGUUCUCCCUGUGGAAAAACACAAACAGAGCCCCAACUCGAGACAAUCACUGGGUCAGGACCUUUCCAUUGUCCUGUUAGAAUAUCCUUCCAAAGUACCUUAGGCUUAUGUAAAUUUUUUGGAUACAAAUGUCUUUCCGCAGCACUAAGCCCUGAUGAAUCCAAAUUUAAAAUUUUAGAGUAAAAAGAGUUAUUUUAAGUUUAUCUUUGGGGGAUUAUAUACCCCUUUCCAAUUCCCUCCUUUUGUUUUAAUAAGUACAUUUUAAUAGUUUGAUGAGCUCUUUCAACUAUGCCUUGUCCUUGUGGAUUGUAUGGAAUUCCUGUUAUGUGAGUAAUGCCAAAUCAUGAGCAAAAUUGUUUAAAAGAGGUAGAAGCAUAACCAGGACCAUUAUCUGUUUUUAACUGUUUUGGAACGCCCACAGUGGCAAAAUUUUGUAAGCAAUGAGCUAUAACAUCUUUAGUUUUUUCUCCGGAAUGAAGGGAGCCCAUCAAAAAUCCGGAAGAAGUAUCAACUGUAACAUGCAAAUAUUUUAAUUUUCCAAAUUCUGGCAAGUGUGUGACGUCCAUCUGCCAAAUAUGGUUAGGUAUCAGUCCUCUAGGAUUGACUCCAAGAUUAACUUGUGGUAAAAAUGUCACACAAUUUUGACAUUGUUUUAUUAUAUGUCGGGCUUGUUCUUUAGUUAUUUUAAAAUGCUUUUGUAAAGUAUUAGCAUUGACAUGGAACCUUUUAUGAAAAUUUAUAGCUUCUUCUAUUGUGGAGAAAAUAUGUAUGUCAUGUGUAGAUUUAUCUGCUAAUUCAUUGCCCAAACUAAGGGCUCCAGGCAAUCCUGUAUGUGCCCUGAUAUGUCCUAUAAAGAAUGGAUCUUUUCUGUCCCAGAUUAGACUUUGUAUAGUGGAAAACAAAGAGAAAACAGUAGAAGAAGGGGAAAUCCUACCAGCAUCUUCAAGGGAUACUAUAGCAUUAACUACAUACUGACUAUCAGAAAAUAAAUUAAAUACAGAAUCUUUAAACAUCACAAAAGCUUGUAAAACUGCAUUAAGCUCUACCUUUUGAGCUGAUUGUUUGGGUACUAAAAAUGUAAAAGUUUGAUCAGGGGUAACUACUGCUGCUGUACCAUUAUUUGACCCAUCAGUGAAUAUAUUUGGAGCAUUCAUGAUAGGGGUUUUUCUUGUCAUUUUUGGAAAAACUACAGGAUGCUUAGACCAAAAAGACAACAAAGGAUUAGAUGGUAAGUGAUUAUCAAAUGAAACAUUAGAUUUACACAUGAUUAUUGCCCAAGUAUUUAACUCAUUAGCUAACUCAUCAAUUUGAUCCAUAGUAUAUGGAGUAAUAAUUUUAUUGGGAGAAAUCCCAAACACUCCCUUGGCUGCUUUUAUUCCUUUGAGUAUUAAUUGUCCUACAGCCUCAGGAUACCUAGUAAGAAUAGUGUUAGGAGAAUAAGAUAAAUGUAUCCACAAUAAUGGACCUUCUUGCCAAAAUACUCCUGUAGGAAUAUUUUUUGUUGGUAGUACAAUAAAUAAUAAAGGCAAACUUAUAUCAAUUCUAUCCAAAUGCAUAUUUUCCAUAUAUGUUUCAAUGAUUUUUAAUGCCUUUCUUGCUUCAGGCGUCAACAUGCGGGGUGAAUUUGGAUCUGAUGGACCUUUUA